RNAcentral lists this ribosomal RNA (498 nucleotides) under uncultured bacterium. RNAcentral's name for it is "partial 16S ribosomal RNA". It matches the Rfam family "Bacterial small subunit ribosomal RNA", at positions 30 to 523 of the family's 1533-position model. The record is from RNAcentral.
AUUGAACGCUGGCGGCAUGCCUUACACAUGCAAGUCGAACGGUAACAGGUCUUCGGAGGCUGACGAGUGGCGAACGGGUGAGUAAUACAUCGGAACGUGCCUAGUAGUGGGGGAUAACUACUCGAAAGAGAGGCUAAUACCGCAUGAGAUCUACGGAUGAAAGCAGGGGAUCGCAAGACCUUGUGCUACUAGAGCGGCCGAGGGCAGAUUAGGUAGUUGGUGGGAUAAAAGCUUACAAAGCCGACGAUCUGUAGCUGGACUGAGAGGACGAUCAGACACACUGGGACUGAGACACCGCCCAGACUCCUACGGGAGGCAGCAGUGGGGAAUUUUGGACAAUGGGCGAAAGCCUGAUCCAGCAAUGCCGCGUGCAGGAUGAAGGCCUUCGGGUUGUAAACUGCUUUUGUACGGAACGAAAAGCCCCGGGUUAAUACCCUGGGGUCAUGACGGUACCGUAAGAAUAAGCACCGGCUAACUACGUGCCAGCCGCCGCGGUAA